GUUGAAGAGAAAUAGGGGGCGAGAGACCGAAGAGAGAGAAUUUACUUCAGGUAGGUGAGAAAAAAUAGAGAGGGUAAAAGAGAAGGUGAGAGACAGCGCAAGAGAGAAUACACUUUAGAGAGGAGGGAGAGACAGCGAGAGAGAGAGAGAGAGAGGGGGGGGGGGGGGGGGGGGGGGGGUAAGAAAAGUGACAGCUCCCCGUCAUUGAGCUGCUGUCUGUCUGAUUCAGGAGGAAACUCUCCUCUGGGGGCCACUGCGAAACGAAAUCUGACAUUGGAAUUGUACGGAGAAAACAGAUGAGCAGUAUACAAAAAAGCAGAAUGGCUUGGAGCGGAUGCCUAGAAGAAAGGCUUGCAGUGAUCUUAAACUUUCCUCAAUCCAUUGGGAGUUGCUGCGAUGAAAGAGAUGCAACUGAAAAACUAAAUUGGAGAAGGAAGAAAAAGGGGAUAAAUAUUUUAGUAUAUACAAAAAUAAAUAUUUAUAAAAUCAUGUUUGAAUGUUAG
Molecule: long non-coding RNA, 503 nt
Organism: Esox lucius (northern pike)
Lineage: Eukaryota; Metazoa; Chordata; Actinopteri; Esociformes; Esocidae
Source: Ensembl